This 301-nucleotide ribosomal RNA is filed under the name uncultured bacterium. RNAcentral describes it as "partial 16S ribosomal RNA". It matches the Rfam family "Bacterial small subunit ribosomal RNA", at positions 509 to 807 of the family's 1533-position model. The record is from RNAcentral.
CAGCAGCCGCGGUAAUACGUAGGGUGCAAGCGUUAAUCGGAAUUACUGGGCGUAAAGCGUGCGCAGGCGGUUAUAUAAGACAGAUGUGAAAUCCCCGGGCUCAACCUGGGAACUGCAUUUGUGACUGUAUAGCUAGAGUACGGCAGAGGGGGAUGGAAUUCCGCGUGUAGCAGUGAAAUGCGUAGAUAUGCGGAGGAACACCGAUGGCGAAGGCAAUCCCCUGGGCCUGUACUGACGCUCAUGCACGAAAGCGUGGGGAGCAAACGGGAUUAGAUACCCCGGUAGUCCCUGUCUCUUAUAC